CUGAAGCAACCCAGUAUCACGCUAAAGCGUGUAAUAGACACGCUGGUCCACUAGAGGAUGCGUGUCAAUGUCACGCUUUGCCUCCUCUAGGCGUGAAAAUGACACGCAUUUAUGAGGAUGAUAACCAAUAGGGGGCGAUAAUUCCCUCAAUGCCAACAACUUCAACAAGAGAAGCGAUGCAGUGAUAUUGCGUUCUCCGGAGUUCCAUGGGUCCGGUCAGUACCCACCACCCUUCCCUGUUAACAUCACCCACAGUUUAUACUUUUUCUCAGAAAACCAGCGGCUCUUUUAAGAGCCACUUCAAUAGACCCUUUUACAGCCCACGUGAUCAAAUAGCCUGCUUGGCAUUUUGGCAACGGAAGUGAUGUUAUUUCCCAGUGGUUCUAACGUGUAAGCAACUCAGAAAGUUUAUUAAAACGAUUUCCCCACAUCAAAACGUCUGGUUGUAGCAUUUGGUUGCACUAAUAUAAUAUACGUAUAUGUAUUUGGCCAUCUGCUAACGUAUUCUAUCCACUCCACUAUAGUACACGGAUCUGGUAACUGUGUAGAAGAUAAGUCAACUUUUUAAACUAACUCUCUCUGUCUGUGUUGCUUCACUGCUGAUUCUUGCCGUGCUUCCGUUGCCAAACUGCGUGCGCAUACAUUGCCAUGUCAUCAUUGUGUACAAACAGUAAAAGGGUCACUCAUUCACUCUUUCGCAAGCUUCUCUGUUUUCAAUUUUGUUGAAAUGGCUGCUGAGCAAGACAGAGGGAGAGCAGAGGAUGUUAUUUUCAUAGCAGACAUGCUUCUUGCUCAAAUCAAGGCAAAGGAACCCAAGGGCAAAGCAACAGCCAUUAAAGGGAGUACAUUUAAUGUCCGAUAGGUGAAGAAAAUGCUGAAGGACGUCCACUACUAAAAAGAAGCAGAAGUGAAGAGAUACAAAGCUUCAGCAACAGUCUGUUUAUUGCCUACAGUGAGACCUCCACAUUUCUGCACUUGUGAUCAUGCAAACAUCCAGUGUAGAGCACUUCACCUGCCCAGCAUGUAGACCCAACAAUGCUCGCUCUUUGUGCAGAUGGCAACAGAAAAACCUACAGAUUCCGUCAGUCAAAAGAAAGGAGCUUCAAGCAGCCACAAACGGAGAGUUCUUUUGGACAGAAAUUGCUUGCAAGUAUUGGCCAUACCUUGAGAAGGCAUCAGUCUCCAUGUUGGAACUCAGACCUUUACUGCAGAUGAGACCUUUCCUUUCUGUCAUGCAUGCCAAGGCUCAUUCAACCAAGUGUCAGGUGUCACACAUUUGUUAGAUAAUCUGGCAAAAAUCAGGAAGGUGCUGGUACAACUGCAGUUGUGGAGGUCGAAAUGGUCAACAGCAACCUGUCUCGUUGUGGCCUCACAACCAAGUAUCUGCCAGGAAUGACAUGCUAACUGUCCAAGCUAUUGGGUGGAACCAACGGAAGCAAGAAGGCCUUCAGCAUUAUCCAGCAGAUACGUCAAGAAAGGCUCAGAGACGGGAAGAUUUGAGCAGUGAACUGGGGUGUCCUGAGAACAUUGUGAAUCAGUGGGUACAAGAUGUCAGACAAAAGGCUACUGAUGGUUCCAGAUGUGAUGACCAACAUAACCUUCAGAAAUGAAUUGAACAAAUGUUUCUUAGUCUUCAUCGAAAAGCCAGCCUUUAUAAUCACACUGAAUCCAGCAACACCCUCACCAAGAAGAUUUUUUUGAUGUAUACAUGUCAAAAGUGCGCCUUCAAGAAACAAAGAUCAUUGUGAUGAGGGAGAUGAGACACCACUGCGCCGCACCUAUCUCAGAAGCCUGGCUAGGAACAUCGGGAAAAUGAUAUCAGAAAUGUCUUCAGGCAAAAACAGUGGCAGUUUAAGUGAAGAGUGUCAUCGCUGGCUACUGUGUCGUCUUCAGAAAAGGCUUGCAGAUGUAGAGAAGAAGUUCUAAGUUUGCUCAAGUUACAGCCAGGCUUUAGGACGGUGUUCUUCACUCCCAACCCUGGAGAGCCGGUGUCCUGCAGACUUUAGCUCCAACCUUAAUCAAACACACAAUGUCUUCAUGAUCUCUAGAAAAUCACAGGUACGUGUGUUUGAUUAAGGUUGGAGCUAAGCUCUGCAGGACACCGGCUCUCCAGGAUUGGGAGUGAAGAACACUGCUUUAGGACCUAAAGCUGUUUCUCUGCUGGAGGAUGAGCCCGAGGAGAUACUGGAGGACCACGAAGAGCUGGAUUAUGAGAGUUCAGAUGACAUUUUGGAUUUGGAACUCUGAACUGGUGUAUGCAUUUAGACUGUGUCACACUGAACUGCAGGUGUGUUUCAUGGAAAACAUAAAACUAUUUGGAAAUGUCAUGGAUGUCUGAUACAGUGCUUUUAUUUUAGACAACCGUUUCCUGCAGUGUGUAAGCACAUUAGCCUCAUAGAUUGAUGGGAAACUACUGUUAAAUACGUUUUUGUAUGAUAAUACAUAUCUCUGUUUACAAGCAGCAGGUUAGCUAUUAGGUUUCCCCUCCACCUCCGAUGUUUCACAGACUACUCUUACAGUCAACUGUGUUGCUACAACUUGCAAAUGCCACAAUCCUCUUGCAGUGGUUACUUCACCAAACUGUGCCCAUAUCAUCUUGUCAACAUAAUGACAUUUACUGUAGAAAAAUAUGUAACACAGGCAAAAUAGAUUUGCACAUGUUACUAUUAUUGUUAUAUAGUUUUAUACUGUACAAAGUUUUUUCAUAGUGAUUUGUGGAUACUUUUGGAUUGAACUAACUGUAGCCUAUGUCAUUGGAUGAAAUACUUUCCAUAAAUGACUGAUCAAUAGCAUACCCAUAUUUGAUGCAUGAGUUAAUACUGUUGUUACCUUUUCAAUGAAAGGAAAUGUUUUACAAUGCCAUGUUCUUGAGGUAAUUAUUAAACUGUUUCAUAUAUGUACCUGCAAAUUUGUUUGCUAAAGCGUUGUUUACUUUUCCCUGUUUUGAAAAUGAGAUGUAAAACUACUUUUUUUAUUUAUGCCUUAAAAAUAAAUGAUAGUUUAAUACAGGUUAAAUAAUAAAACUUGUUAAUAGUUAA
Non-coding RNA from Paramisgurnus dabryanus, 3038 nucleotides. NCBI's taxonomy places the organism in Eukaryota, Metazoa, Chordata, Actinopteri, Cypriniformes, Cobitidae. The record is from RefSeq and is a predicted model, not a curated record.